UUUUAUAUUUUAUUACUAUUAAAAAUUAUUUAUUAAAUUUAUAUUUUAAUAAAUUAAAAUAUUUUGUUGGGGUGAUAAAAAAAUAUUGAAAACUUUUUUUAUAAAUAUUUCAUAAAUAAAUGAAUUUUUGAUCCAAUUUUAUUGAUU
RNAcentral lists this ribosomal RNA (147 nucleotides) under Cyclophora albipunctata. RNAcentral describes it as "partial large subunit ribosomal RNA". Lineage: Eukaryota; Metazoa; Arthropoda; Insecta; Lepidoptera; Geometridae. The record is from RNAcentral.